Lineus longissimus is the source of this 839-nucleotide long non-coding RNA. RefSeq lists it as uncharacterized. NCBI's taxonomy places the organism in Eukaryota, Metazoa, Nemertea, Pilidiophora, Heteronemertea, Lineidae. The transcript is spliced from 4 exons. The record is from RefSeq and is a predicted model, not a curated record.
AAGGAACACAAAAGACGAUGUUGCAGUCUACAGGCCCUCUGCAGAUUGAGAUGAUGGCUGUCGAGAAGAUCCAACCACUCAACCACAGUCUACAAUUCGUGCUAUGGUAGAUGUGACUCUCAACGAUUUUGGAUGACAAAGGAAUCCAAUGCAUAUAUGUCGCUCACAGGUACGGGCAGACGACGGAGAUUCGAGUGGAUUCAGUGGAUCGAAUGGUUGCGCUGAGGGAUCCAUGUGCAGGAGUGAUGAACCACAGUUCAGCAAACGAUGCCUUGACAGACCAAUUCAAGGAGAACCUUCGCUAAGAUGAAGAAGGGAACGUGUUUACUGUGUGGAUGGGAAGGACACUUAAAUGUCCGUCAUUCUAAUCGACUAUUAUGACAAUAUUCUAAUUGACUAGAAUGACAAUCUUAACUCGAAAGGGACUCUCUGGACUUACAGAAAGCUACGGACAUAGAGCCCUGACAUGAUACCCUGCAGCCACCAUGAGGACAGCCUAUCUCAUACCUACGGAAGGAUGCCAUCACACGCAUGAUGAGCCAUCCCACAGAAGGGAGAAGGAUGUUGUUGACCCAGCACAUCCCAACCAUGCUCCCAUCGCCGUCAAGUAACAGUACGACGGUUAGAUUGUAUUUUGUCACCGUAGGCUUUAUCGUUUUAUCAAAAUAUCUGAUUGAAAGGUGAUUUAAUGAAAAUUCUAAUUUUUCUGAUGGUGAGAAGGCAAAUUUUUACUUUGCUUAUGACAAGCAUAGAUUAUUUUAAUCUAUGUUUGGUUAUGAUCAUGACUUGUGCCAUGGUUCAAAAUCUUACACUUUUCAAAGAAGGGAUUGAAAUUAUCA